ACUAUUACGCCGUUAAACCCGCCCUGAGUAGUACCAGCCCUCACUUUAAACUCAAAGAAUUUGGCGGCACCCUCCCCCGUUAGAGGAACCUGCCCCAUAAAUGAUGACCCACGCUUCAAAAGUCCUAAGUUUACAGUUUGUAUACCGCCGUUUAGCGUGUAUUUUAAAAUACACUCGUAGUAGAUUUAACUAAAAAUUCAGGUCAAGGUGCAGCCUACGCUUAGGAGGAGGUGGGUUACAUUAAUUUUAAUUACACAAAUCUUAAUUAUAAAAAUUAAGUGAAGGUGGAUUUAAUAGUAAGUUUGGAUGUUAUCAAAACUGAAGGGG
RNAcentral lists this ribosomal RNA (327 nucleotides) under Cloeon simile. RNAcentral's name for it is "partial 12S ribosomal RNA". The record is from RNAcentral. Lineage: Eukaryota; Metazoa; Arthropoda; Insecta; Ephemeroptera; Baetidae.